This 1123-nucleotide small RNA is filed under the name Pan troglodytes (chimpanzee). Its description in RNAcentral is "retained intron". Lineage: Eukaryota; Metazoa; Chordata; Mammalia; Primates; Hominidae. The record is from RNAcentral.
GAAAUAAUAAAGAAGAUCACGGACCUAAGGAAUGUUUUCUUCAGACUAAACCAAGACAACUUUGACAACCCAUUAAAGUUAGCCCCAUUUCAAUAUAUCCUCUAAAAUAUCUGGAAAUUGUCUAUAUGCAAUGGGCUUGUUAAGUCCAUCCCUGCAAGUGUGCCUGGGGGCUCGUUAUUUAUUUAUGUGAACUUGAUUAUUUUUUACUGAUUAGAACAUGCUUCCAUGUGAAGCUCAACUGAAAAUCUGCUGCCAUGGAUGUCUCUCACUGUAACAAAAUAUAAAGCCUCUCCUAUCUCACUUUCACCUUUGCAGGGCCCCCCUGGUCCCCCUGGCCCUCCUGGACCUCCAGGCGUAAGCGGUGGUGGUUAUGACUUUGGUUACGAUGGAGACUUCUACAGGGCUGACCAGCCUCGCUCAGCACCUUCUCUCAGACCCAAGGACUAUGAAGUUGAUGCUACUCUGAAGUCUCUCAACAACCAGAUUGAGACCCUUCUUACUCCUGAAGGCUCUAGAAAGAACCCAGCUCGCACAUGCCGUGACUUGAGACUCAGCCACCCAGAGUGGAGCAGUGGUUACUACUGGAUUGACCCUAACCAAGGAUGCACUAUGGAUGCUAUCAAAGUAUACUGUGAUUUCUCUACUGGCGAAACCUGUAUCCGGGCCCAACCUGAAAACAUCCCAGCCAAGAACUGGUAUAGGAGCUCCAAGGACAAGAAACACGUCUGGCUAGGAGAAACUAUCAAUGCUGGCAGCCAGUUUGAAUAUAAUGUAGAAGGAGUGACUUCCAAGGAAAUGGCUACCCAACUUGCCUUCAUGCGCCUGCUGGCCAACUAUGCCUCUCAGAACAUCACCUACCACUGCAAGAACAGCAUUGCAUACAUGGAUGAGGAGACUGGCAACCUGAAAAAGGCUGUCAUUCUACAGGGCUCUAAUGAUGUUGAACUUGUUGCUGAGGGCAACAGCAGGUUCACUUACACUGUUCUUGUAGAUGGCUGCUCUAAAAAGACAAAUGAAUGGGGAAAGACAAUCAUUGAAUACAAAACAAAUAAGCCAUCUCGCCUGCCCUUCCUUGAUAUUGCACCUUUGGACAUCGGUGGUGCUGACCAGGAAUUCUUUGUGG